CGUAAAGAGUCUGUAGGUGGUUUGUCAAGUCUUUGGUGAAAGGCCGUAGCUUAACUAUGGGAAUGCCAAAGAGACUGGCAGGCUGGAGGCUGGGAGAGGGAAGCGGAAUUUCUGGUGUAGCGGUGAAAUGCGUAGAUAUCAGAAGGAAGGGCACGCGGCGUCGACGUCGGCGCCAAGGACGACAUCUACGACAUCAUCUCGGACCUCGCCACCUCCGGUCUCGCGUGCCUGAUCAUCUCGUCGGAUCUCGAAGAGCUCGCGCUCAUCUGCGAUCGCGUCCUCGUGAUCUACGAGGGCAGGAUCGUGGGAGAGGUGGGCCACGGCGAGGUCACGACGGCCCGGCUCGGCGAGCUCGUCGUCGGUGGUGCCCAGUGAACGUGGCUCUGGAGGUGGACAGGACGCGGGCGACGCGUCGAACCGUGCGCCACGCCCUUGGCCGGGCGAUCCGCCUACGUGAGGUGCAGC
RNAcentral lists this ribosomal RNA (465 nucleotides) under uncultured bacterium. RNAcentral describes it as "partial 16S ribosomal RNA". The stretch from base 14 to 211 matches the Rfam family "Bacterial small subunit ribosomal RNA", at positions 572 to 748 of the family's 1533-position model. The record is from RNAcentral.